GGGGGGAGUGCAGCUGAUGAUGUGGCAGGUGCAUUGACUUGCCAUAUCUCUGGUGAUUUUGAAAGUGGAUUGUCAGCAACUGUGGAUUUUACUGAAAGUAACCAUGGGAUGUCCACCGGAAUAUCUGCAGCCUCUAAUGGUGAUGCAACUAAGGUGUCUGGACUUACCCUUGCUUAGUAGGGCCAGCUUAUAUCCAUUGGCAUAGAGAAUCAGAGGCAGGUGCAUGCCGAAUAUAGGACUUAAUAGGCUAGAUGGGGGGUUUAAUUGCUUGGUGUUGUUUUAUAAUUGGGAAAGUAGCGCACUAGAGGGGUAGAAACAAUUGACAUUAUAUUUAUAUAAUAUAUGGACAUUCUGAGAAUUUGACGUCCGCUGGUUGAUUAGGACGUCUUAGAAUUUUUGUUUAGGGGUUAGUGUCUAUUACAGUAUGAGGUGCUGUUUCCAAUGUUCUAGUGGUGUUGGUUUGCAUUUUUAUGGGUCUCCCCUAUACGGGAGAAAGUAUUUACUAUGAGAAUGUUUGCAUUGAACUAAUGAGAUUGGCUUCUUUGCAAGCACUGUUGCAAUUUAAUUUUGCCGAAAUUAUUAAUAUUUUCUCCUCU
RNAcentral lists this unclassified non-coding RNA (596 nucleotides) under Hevea brasiliensis (rubber tree). Lineage: Eukaryota; Viridiplantae; Streptophyta; Magnoliopsida; Malpighiales; Euphorbiaceae. The record is from RNAcentral.